Heteronotia binoei (common prickly gecko) is the source of this 211-nucleotide long non-coding RNA. RefSeq lists it as uncharacterized. The transcript has 2 exons. Lineage: Eukaryota; Metazoa; Chordata; Lepidosauria; Squamata; Gekkonidae. The record is from RefSeq and is a predicted model, not a curated record.
AUAAAAGGAAGUACUUCUUCACCCAAAGGAUGAUUAACAUGUGGAAUUCACUGCCAUAGGAAGUGGUGGCAGCUACAAGCAUAGCCAGCUUCAAGAGGGGAUUGGAUAAAAAUAUGGAGCAGAGGUCCAUCAGUCCAUCAGUGUGACACAGAGCAUAGAUGGAAUUCUCUGUGUGGGGCAAGUGAUGCUCUGUAUUCUUGAUGCUUGGGGG